CUUCAGGGAGCCGAGCAGCAGCGGCGUCUCCCGGUCCCGGCCGUACGCCGCCAGCAGGGCCUCGGCCUC
RNAcentral lists this non-coding RNA (69 nucleotides) under Streptomyces mutabilis. Lineage: Bacteria; Bacillati; Actinomycetota; Actinomycetes; Kitasatosporales; Streptomycetaceae. The record is from RNAcentral.